GUAGGUGGCAAGCGUUGUCCGGAAUUAUUGGGGCGUAAAGCGCGCGCAGGCGGUUCUUUAAGUCUGAUGUGAAAGCCCACGGGCUCAACCGUGGAGGGUCAUUGGAAACUGGAGAACUUGAGUACAGAAGAGGAAAGCGGAAUUCCACGUGUAGCGGUGAAAUGCGUAGAGAUGCGGAGGAACACCAGUGGCGAAGGCGGCUUUCUGGUCUGUAACUGACGCUGAGGCGCGAAAGCGUGGGGAGCAAACAGGAUUAGAUACCCUGGUAGUCCACGCCGUAAACGAUGAGUGCUAAGUGUUAGGGGGUUUCCGCCCCUUAGUGCUGCAGCUAACGCAUUAAGCACUCCGCCUGGGGAGUACGGCUGCAAGGCUG
Molecule: ribosomal RNA, 373 nt
Filed under: uncultured organism
Description: partial 16S ribosomal RNA
Rfam family: Bacterial small subunit ribosomal RNA
Source: RNAcentral